CCAGAUUCUGCUAUUUCUCACGCUAUCUCCCACUCGCGGCGCCGGCGACUACACCAUUGAAACCCACAGGCCACACAGCGCAGGAACAAAAAACGGCGGCGCGAUAAGAAGGGCGCCGCUGUUGGCGCCGGGCCGGCCCGCUCCCGAGCGGUGUCCUUCUUCAGGUCCGCCCUCCGGAGCAACCCCUCUCACUUCCCCGCCGCGCCGCGUCGGACUGCGGACCCCUUGGGCUUGCGACGGUGCUGCUCAGCUGCUGCUGCUGGGGUCGGGGCUCGUGCUCGGGCGACGCGGGAUUUGAGUCGCCAUUAUUGGAUUUUUCUUCCAUUGAUUGCGAACAUUUUGUUCUGGUACGCUCUGUGUCUACUCCUGCUCGUCCUUGUCCCCCUCGUACUCGCGCCGCCGUCGUCGUCGUCGUGUCUUUGACCUUGAAUGCUAGAUUGCAUUCUUUCUUGGACGGAGGAAGCACUUAUUUGUGUAUAUUUCUACAUCUUCUAAACCCAAACCCUAGAUCGAAUCGAGUUUGUGCGCGGACCGUUCUCCGGAUCGGCUGUCGCUUCACAUAAACACCAGCAAGGUGCCGUCUCGCCGCCGUUCCAUUGCCUGGCAGUUGGCAUCGAUGGCGGCAGGGGCUGGGAACCAUGCGGUGGCGCCUGACAUGGCUUCCGAGUCAAGUUUGACCUGCUGCGGUGCUCUGCUACGCUACUCCUGAUGGAUGAAUGGAUCAUGGAUACUACCCCACUCCCCACUGGAGCCCUGAUGCUCCGCAGUGGUGAUAUCCUUCCCCCAGUGUUCUUAAGGCGCCUAGGCGAGCAAGUGGACCAGACAACCGCCUUAGCGCCUAGGCGGUGCCUAGGCGACGCCUAGGCGGGAAUGGCGAGCAAGGCGACCAGUUUUGCCCGGGCGCCUGGACGCCUAGGCGACGCCUUAAGAACACUGUCUUCCCCUGUUGUUGCCUCUUGCCUGUGGGAUAUUUAACUUUUUGCAAUCUUCUCUCCUUCACCCUGCCUUAUUUUUUCUAGGGGUGGGCACACCUGGUGGGGAGAAAUUUGUAAUUGUGUCAUUAUAAAACGUGUGUUUCGCUAGAUUGCCAUUAAAUAAAUGAGUUUUGUUCGUAUGCUAUUAUGAACAAUAACGUAUACGCUAAAAUGCCAUUUGCUUGUUUAAUAAAACAAAAAAGACUGAAUACAAUUUUGUGGAACAUUCUACCUUAUGGCCCUGCCUGAUGUCCUCUGCUCCUACUCCCGAACGAACCCAUGUUUCUAGAGAACUCGACGGUGGCCUCGAAGACCUGCUUGCUUGCAGUCGAGAAUGGCACGUCCCUGGCCACCAGCCCGAUGACCACUUGCGUAGGCCCGACAAGCAUCUCGCGUGCACUCGACGCGGAGGCUGGACCCAAGGAAUCUCAUGAGGUAGCUGCGGUUGCCGGCGGCAUGGUACAGGCGGCCGCCCAUAGGCUACAUGAGCUCGUCCUGGUACAUAGUGGAGUUGUAGUAGUCGCUGAGCUCCAGGAACGUGCGCGUGUAGGAGCCCCGGUAUGCGUCGGCGAAUGCAAACAGCCGCUCGAUGUGGUCGAGGAGGAGCGAAGACAUGUACGUCGCGUUGGCGGGCUUGUACACCAGGAACGCCGACGCGUCCCGAACUUCACGUGGUCGCCUGUGUCGUACAUGCCCCUGGAUAGGUCCAGCUUGGCAUCCUCGCCGUCGCGCAACGCCGAGUCCCCUCGCCACGAGAUCAUGUUGUUCACCAGCUUCCCGACGAGGAUGGACGCUGAAGGGCGACGACGCCGAUGAGGACAAGCAGUAGCACGCCUCCAUCGUCUGAUGAGGAUGAGCGGCGCACACUUGGCGGGAGAGCUGCAAGGCGCGGGCAACCAGCUGCAGGCGUGGCGCGGGGCCGAAGAGCACCAGCGCAAGCCCCUUGCAGGCGCGGGCUCAACACUGGAAAGAAGAAACACACGUGACGUAGAGAAAGGGAAAAGGAGGAGAGGGGCAAGACAAUCUGUUGGUUUUCUACAAUUAAAUUGGAGUUAUUUUAGUUUUUGUUAAACAACCAAAUGACAUUUUAGCGUGUACACCAUGGUUCAUAAUGGCAUCUGGAUGAAACCCAUUCAUUUGAUGGCAAUAUAGCAAAACCCACGUUUCAUAAUGACACAAUUCCAAAUUUCUCCCUGCUGGGUGCUUGUUGCCGGCGCGAAGGGUCCAACGAAGACACGGGUGCCUCCGUGCCUGCCAUAGGGUUGGCAUUGUGUGCUGCGAUCUGAUAUUCUGCUUUGAGCACAUGAUACCUUGCCACUCUGCUUUGCUCCGAAUGUUCCUAGCCGUAUGCUCCUCAUCCUCACCACCUCGGUUCAUUUGGAUGGGCAAUGCGUAAGGGAUCAGGAAUUCAGGAUCUGGAGAUAUAAAGAGGUGUUUUUCUGACUUGAGCGAAGUCCCAAGUGAAAAUUUAUUUAGUCCAACCAUGUUGGCCAUGGAAAUGGACUCGGACCGAUGAAUGGAUUGCUGAUGAGGGGCGAUGAUGUUCAACCUUUUAUAAAUUGCCUGCCAUUGAGCAAUAGUAUCUAUCAGAGCUAACCCUCUUCCCUCAUGAAGCCUAUUUUAAUCAUCCCUUUUUGUUUGUGGCUCUGACUAGGAUGGUCAUUUGGAUAUGUGACAACCAGCACAGUUCCACUUACAUUGGGAUUAGGGAUGAAAACGGAUACUUAUUCGGAUAUCAUCACCACCACACCACUCCCAUGGCGGUUUAAUCUGCUGUUUGAGUUGUUUCAUACUUUUAUUCUGUUUUGUAUUUAUGCUCUUGUGUGUUCUUAUCUGCAUGUUCUUUUGUGCCUUUUUGCAUGUCCUGUUGAUGCUGUACGCCUGCACCCUGCUCUAAGGCUGCCCUUCACUUGUCUUUCUGCUGGAUCUGGACCUGCUACCUGGGUCAAUAUUAUUGAGAAUUUGAGACUAAUAUGGCAAGUCAGUAUCAUCUCAUAUGCACCUACCUAAAUGCCCCUCAAGAAUAAAAAAAACAAGUUUCCAGUGUGGGGCAGUGAUCAAUAACUAUGGCUGACAAAAGCGCCUUGGAGCAAUCAAGGCUGCUAUGGGUACCAAACUGGAAUACUCAUGUCCAUCUCUUGGAGAUCUUUUCAAUUAGCUCUAAUGAUAGUGGCUUUGUCCCUGGAUGGUCAUGCCCUCUUCAUGUGUGAUAACCGGGGCAACUCCACUUAUCAUGUCAGGAGAAGUUGAUGUGGUGAUAAAAGAUGAUGGGGAUAAGGUUAAAUGAUUGGGCAAAGGCGAAGCUGAGCCCCCCUUUCAACACAUACAUGCAAAGAAAAGGGAAUAAGAAACAUGAGUUUAUGUUGUCUCUUCCCUUUUCUGUUGAAUAUGUUGUUGCUGUGUGUUUUCUUGUCUAACCUACAUAUUUUCUAACUCCAUUCCUUUUGUUGCAUUUGUCAAACACCAUGCAUUUACCUUUGGAUUCCAUUUAUCAGUAGGUUGAGAUGUUUCCUAGUUUCUGACAUUGAUUCUGCUAUAAUUGUUUGCAAUAGCCGUGUUUUGCAUGAUGGAUACUUUCUGAUAACUUUGUUCAUCCCAGAAUUUAUUGCAGAAUUUCAUGAGUUAUGUCUCACUACUGUUGGAACUGGGUAGUUUGGAAAUAAGAGGGCAUUGUGUUUUCCCAAUUACUUCUUCUGGUCCAUCAUAACUAUUACAGCUGUGCAGGGUGCAACAUUGGUCCGUUUUGGUAGUUCCUAUGCAUCCCUUUGUUCUUCAGAUAUUUUUUGUCGCUUGUCUGAUGGUCUUCCUUUCUUGUUUGGAACUGUUCUUCAGUGGCUGUGACGAUCAAAUGCCCCAGCUCCAUAAAGCUAUUACGUUUUAGCAUUCUGGAUUCUUACCUUUGGUAUUUUGCUCAAUAUGCUGCUAAACUAGGAUGGCUUGUACCAUGUACAAGCAACCGGUUUGCAACUAGUUGUUGUCAUUGCUAUGGUGGUGGUGUAGUAUAUAUCCAACUGAACAAUCCUACUCAAAAAGUUCAUUUAGAAAGGGAUGGAGGGAGUACACGUUUCUUCUGCAAGUAUUGUGUUGAUACUGGGGCACAUCUGAGCCAUCCAACAUGACAUUACUCUUUUUGUUCUGUCAUAUACUUUUGUUUACGAGUCUAUUUCGUCUGUGUAUCCUACCAUUUUCAGUGAUUUCAACUUGGGAUCAGGAUCAUGAUACUGAUGGGGCGAAUUGUCAACAUUGAUUUGAUGUCACAAUAUUCUUGACUUGGGUAAAUUCGGUGCAUAGAUUCCUCGUGUUUUUGGUUUGGAUGCUCAAACUUAGUUGGAUGAAUUGCUCAUUUUGUUCUAAAGAACGAUUUUCUUUUCCACACUCAUUUAACUAGAUUCAAUCGUCCACUAAUACUUAUAAGUGGUUCGCUAAUGUGUCCUUACUUCUGUGGCAUGAGGCAUUAGUGGUCCUAAUCACGUCCCAUGGCCUUGAUGAAUCUUGAUUGAUCAGUCAAACGGAUACACAUGCUACAUCAUAGCCAUGAGCACGACUGUACUUUCUGGUCAUGUGCGUGAAAGCUUCUCUAUGCAUGUGCUAUUCACAUAUGAGCAGACUAUUUCUUUCUGUGUUGUUCACAUGCAUAUCAAUCGAUUUUGCCAAGUGCGGAAACAUUGGGAGUUGGGAUGACAAGUUGUUGGAGAGGGUUUUCUUUCAAUCCUGCCAAAAAAACCAAGAUUGGGAGUGGGUUCUGGGAAAUAUUGGAGAUGCUUUGAUUGGGAUUAGUGGUUGUUCACAUAUCUUCGCUACUGAUGGCUGGAACAUGAAUACUUCUCCUGAUUCGCUGCAUUGGUGAUCUCCUUCCCCUGCAGUUGCCUCUGGAACAUUUAACUUUUUUGCCAUCUUCUCUCCUUCACCCUUGCCUUUUCUCCCCUUCCUCUUCUCUCCGCUUGUGCUCUCUUUCAUGUUGAUCACUGGGUGGCAGCUGCCGCUCUAUGCAGGUGCCUUGGUCUUGUUGGGCCCUUUGCCAGGUCUUAAUCCGGCACUUUGCUGGCGACAGAAUCACUUGCUGCAAAAGCUGAAUCCUUAGAGCUUUUCAGUGUUGAGAGACAACUGAUUAGUUCCAAAGGUAGGAAGUUAAUCUCCAGCUAGGUAACGACUCGUUGAUAGCUAUGAAAGCUAGGUUUUACGGCUUACAGAACCUUGUUAAGCAAGGAAUCAGCACCACAGCUGGGAAUGUUUGUGCCAUUUUCACUUCCAGCUCCUGCUCUAAUCAAGUCAAUUCCAACUUGGACUAUCACACAGAUAGUGCUAGGCGAGUAAUCACUAAUCAGGUAAGUUGACUUGCCAUAGGGGCACACACUUGCCUGUUCAGCCAUCCCUUUUUGUUCGUGGUUUUGCCUAGGAUGGUCACUUGGAUGACAACAAGCACAGUUCCUGUUGGAACUGCGACUUCUGAGGUGGUAUGUGUGGUGAGGGGAAGGUUGAGGCUCAGGACCACGGAGCUUGGGCACCGUGGCUGCUAGCUGGAAGAGUCGAAGGGACGAGGAACUGUUCACGCAGCGUGGCGAACAGUAGUUGUAGGUGAAUAGUGACGCGAAUGAACAGUACCUUGGAUGAACCGUAUGCGGCGAGCAGUAUAUGGGUUUGGGGAAGCACGGGCAAGAUACUUGCCUGCUUACUCUUUCAUUGAUCGAAGGGUACAUUAGCAACCGUCCUUAUCUAAUAUUUUAUCUAACCAAUUUCUUAUCCUUCUAAACAAACUCUGUUUGUUCUCAUACAUCCAAACAAACUCUAUCCCCAGACUACGACUGGCGCUUAUCCAUCUAAACAACUAGCUGAUUUUAUUAGGGCUGUUGUGCUGCCGGUCAUAACAGUUCCACUCACAUUAGGAUGAGUAAAUUGGGCAGCAAGAGAAGGGAGGACCUGGUUUCUAUGAUUGAGCACAGGUGAUGCUAAGCCCUUUUUGUAUGGUUUAUGCUGCGAUGCUUUAUGACUAUGUUUUUUUGUUUCAUACUGCACUUGGGUGGCUAUGAUGGUUCAACUUUCCAUUAACGAGCUUCUGCACUCUACUACCAUCUUAUGAGCUGGACUGGGAUAUUUUAUGAUGUUUGCUGCUUAACUAGGAUGGCCCAUGCCUUACUAGAAGGUGGUUCUAUCUCUGUUUGCUUCUUAACUAGGAUGCCUUGCGCCUCUAGCAGUCACCCAAAAAAAAACAAGUCUACUGCUGGCUGGCUGGAUUGGAUACAUGUAUUGGUCAUGAUGAUUCUCUCGUCAUUACUCUUUAGCACAGAUGCGCUGCAGUGAUGAUCCCCAGAUCCACUGCUGUUGCCUGUGUUGCCAUCUGCUCUGAUGACCCUGUUCACCCCUGCCUUUUCUUCUCGUGUUCACCUUGUCUCCUCUCUCUCUCUCUCUCUGUGUGUGUGUGUGUGUGUUCUGCACCGCAGGAAGGGCAUACCUAGUGGAUGCUCAUUGCCGGAAAAGUGCCUGACAAACCUGGCGAAGGGUCCAACAAAGACCUGGGCACCACGUUGGACAUGGAAAGGGGUCCUAUUCUGUGAAUGGAGUGCUGAACGGCUGAUGAGUGAUGAGGGGCGAUGAUGCUCAACCUUUUCUGGAUUGCAUGGCACUGAACAAUGAAGGCAGCUACGAGUGUCUAAUUAGAGCUAACCCUCUCUCCUCUUGAAGCUUAUUUUAAUCACCCCUUUUUGUUUGUGGUUCUGCCUAGGAUAGUCAUUCAGAGAUGUGACAACCAGCACAGUUCCACUUACAUUGAGAUGACUAAGUUGCGCUGCAAGAGAAAUGUGAAGUCGUUUUGCAUGAUUGAAUAAGGGUGAUGCUGAGCCCUUCUUUUAUAGGUUAUGUUAUCAUGCUUUAUGUUUUAUCCUUUUGUUUUAUACUAACUCUUGAGUGACUAUGAUGGUUCAAAUUUCCAUUAGAGAGCUGUGCACUAAAGGAGAUGUCCUCCAUCUUGAUUUGAGAUCUUCUGAGCUGGUACUGCAGAUACAGUCCAAACAAAAAGCUAUUCUGUCUCCAUUUGUUGUGUAACUAGGAUGGCUUGUACCUCACUAGUCACUACCUCCAUCUCGAAAGGAAUGCAAUUUUGUCUAUGCACCCUGACAAGCAUUCGUUUUGGGGGCAGUGGUAAGUACAAGUAACCAGUUAUGCGGCCAUGGGAGAGACAGAAAGAGAGAGAGAGAGAGAGGUUACAUUGUGCUUCCACUAUAAAUUGCACUUGCUAUGAUGAUAAUGGUUGAAUCUGAGCCACUCAAGUGACCUUUUUCCUCCUAGUACCACUGUCUGAAUACUCCUGCCCCCUUACCCCCAAUUCCCAUGGUGUUUUAAUGAUUGGUUUUGCUGAUGUUGCAGCUAAUGAGACAGCUAAUCUGCUCUUUGAAUUGGUUAAAGCUUUUAUUCUGUUUUGUACUCGUGUGCUCAUAUCUGCUUGUUCUUUUGUGCUACUUUGCAAGUCCUGUUGAUGAUAUGCCCUGAUUUUGGGCUGUUCUUCAUUUGCCUUGCUGCUGGAUUUGAACCUGCGCCCUUGGUUAAUGUUUGUAGGACUGAUAUGCUAAGUUAGUUCCAUGUCAUAAGUUCCUACCUAAGUGCCGCUCAAUAACGAUGAAAUAAAAUUCCAAUGUGAGGCAAUGAUCUGUAUCAUGGUUGACACAAGCACCUUUGAGCAAUCAAGGCUGCUAUGUUGUUAACCUUGCUCUUAGAGGACAUGGAAAUGGACUCGAAUAUGUGAAAUGGACUGCUGACGAAGGGCGAUGAUGCUCAACCUUUUCGGAGUCGCACGCCAUUGAGCAACCAAGGCAGCUGCGUGUCUGGUAGCCUAUUUAAUAAUCCCUUUUUGUUUGUGGUUCUGCCUAGGAUGGUCACCUGGAUGGAUAUAUGACAACCAGGACAGUUCCACUCACAAUAGGAUGAGUAGAUUGGGCAGAAAGAGAAGGGAGGGCCUGAUUUCUAUGAUUGAGCAAAGGAGAUGCUGAGCUGAGCCCCUUUCGUAUGGUUUAUGCAGCGGUGCUUUAUGGCUCUGUUUUUUGUUUCAUACCGCGCUUGAGUGGCUAAGAUUGUUCUGCUUUCCAUUACAGAGCUUCUGCACUCUACCAUCUUCUGAGCUGAUGAUACCUGGGAUAUUCUUUGACGUUUGCUGCUUUACUACGAUGGCCCAUGCCUUACUAGAAGGUGAUUCUAUAUCUGUUUGCUGCUUUAACUAGGAUGCCUUGCACCUUAGAGCAUCUCUAGCAGUCACCAAAAGAAAAGACAGGUUGUGCAUCCUUGACAACAAAUUCACCUCCCCAUGAUAGGGAGUAGCGGUCAUCCGUGUAUCUCUGCGUGUUUUUUCCAAGCGUUGAUAGAUUCGGGAGUUGUAGCAAGUUCUUUUUUUUUCUUGUUCAUGUCAGAUUGAGUGGUUUGUUUUUUUUUCUUACACAAUUGCCAUUGUGCUGAUAAUGGUUAGAUUUGAGUCACUCAAGUUACCUCCUUUUCUUCUAGUACGACUGCACCCCUCGCUCCGGCGGUUUGUAUUGCCGCUGAUCCAGUUAAUGUGCUCUUUGAGUCGGUUCAUACUUUCUAUUCCGUUUUGUAUCUUGUACUGUGUCGUCUUGUUCUUUUGUGCUCUUUUCCAUGUCCUGUUGGCGCUCUUCACUUGUCUGGGGCACCGGCCACCGCUGCGCCAUUCCCCGUCUCGCUCCAACACGUGGUAGCAACGGUGGCCGCCACCUCUUCUCGGUUUGCUUGGACUUCUCUACUGCCGUUGCCGCUUCACGGAUCAGUAAUAAAUCUUACAAGCCUGUUUACAAAUGCUAUUCAUUUUGCAGCUGUUUAGUCCAUCACGGAUUCUUUAUGGAGUUUCCCAAUCUAAAUCUCUGGUAGCUGGUGUUUGAAUCUUUCAAUGUCAGAAAUGUAGUGGUUAUUGGCUAGGGAUCCAUGAGGCUGCGGUGUGUCUUACCAAUCAGAGAUCUAUCUGUCUGUUAUGGUAUCUUUUACGCUAAUUCUUUAAUUCAAUAAUUAUGAGAUUUUGGUGAUGACUGGUCAAAAUUGAGCCAGCUCUGUAAUUCAUAAUUCAUAGUUUGGUAAUUCAAUAAUUAUGAGAUUUUGGUGUACAGAUUAUUUUGACGAAACAAAUGCUGUAGUGCUGUACAUUAAGUAGGCGCGGGAUGGGCUUGUGGUGGAGGGAAUGCCGUGGUGGAAGGGAGUGGAGAGCAGCGCAGUGGAGUCUUGGAGACUGGAGACACCGUGCACAACGCGAUCCGCAUCUGCUUGUUUGUAUAGUUACGCAGCAGGAGUCCAUGGAAAUCACAAAUGUCGACCACGCAAGUCACACCGCCACGUAUGGGCGCCAUGUCAAAUGUAAGUGAGCCGGCAAAGGGCCCACUCCAAAUCAACCUUUCAGGAGUUUCCAUGGACUGGGCUCCAACUCCAAGAGACCGCACAAGUGCAGAGCGUGAUUUGUUGGGCACGAAACACGGCAACCACCGGCCCAGUUUUGUGCUGAACUAUGCGAGCAUGAUUCCUUAACAACCUGGCAGUUGGUUGAAUUGUACGUGCUGGCACUGUGGUCGGCUAGGCCCAACCAUGGCGUAGUUAGUAGUCCCUGACAAAAGGCAGCCAUGCAAUGCAAUGCUCAUCCUUGAGCUUGAGCUGGGGCAGGUGCUGGCACAGGACCAGCCGGCCAGGACUUGACCGAAAGGGUCGACGGGGAUUUCCCCCAAAAGGAGAGGCGACGGUCGACGGAUAUGCAGCAAGGCAAACGCAGCAAGCAGACGCAAGGCGAUGGAAAAAAAAAACCAAGACAAGAGAUUAGGUGUGGCAUUGAUUGACGGGGCGGAGCAUGAGCAAGCGCAGUCCCUUUCGCGCCAUUGCAUUGAACACCGCCGGCAUGCAUGCGUAUACAGGCGACGAGCGAGACCGAAUUGAAGGGGCGGAUGAAUAUAAUAUAAUCAGUCGUCGUGCGUAAAGCGAAGCAC
Molecule: long non-coding RNA, 9934 nt
Filed under: Zea mays
Lineage: Eukaryota; Viridiplantae; Streptophyta; Magnoliopsida; Poales; Poaceae
Description: long non-coding RNA (ZMAY_LNC005256)
Source: RNAcentral